CGCCGAGCAAUACGGGAGCGGCAGACGGGUGAGUAACACGUGGGAACGUGCCUUUCGGUUCGGAACAACCCAGGGAAACUUGGGCUAAUACCGGAUACGCCCUUACGGGGAAAGAUUUAUCGCCGAAAGAUCGGCCCGCGUCUGAUUAGCUAGUUGGUGGGGUAAUGGCCCACCAAGGCGACGAUCAGUAGCUGGUCUGAGAGGAUGAUCAGCCACAUUGGGACUGAGACACGGCCCAA
This 239-nucleotide ribosomal RNA is filed under the name uncultured bacterium. Its description in RNAcentral is "partial 16S ribosomal RNA". It matches the Rfam family "Bacterial small subunit ribosomal RNA", at positions 78 to 334 of the family's 1533-position model. The record is from RNAcentral.